Molecule: ribosomal RNA, 1410 nt
Filed under: uncultured bacterium
Lineage: Bacteria
Description: bacterial SSU rRNA
Rfam family: Bacterial small subunit ribosomal RNA
Source: RNAcentral
AGAGUUUGCUUCUGGCUCAGAUUGAACGCUGGCGGCGUGCUUAACACAUGCAAGUCGUGCGAGAAAGGGGGCUUCGGUCCCUGAGUAGAGCGGCGCGCGGGUGAGUAACGCGUGGGUGAUCUACCCGGAAGUCUGGGAUAUCGGUGGGAAACUGCCGCUAAUACCGGUUAAUCUUCCAAUUCGAAUUGGAGGGAAAGACGGCCUCUGCUUGCAAGCUGUCGCUUUCGGAUGAGCCCGCGUCCCAUUAGCUCGUUGGCGGGGUAACGGCCCACCAAGGCAACGAUGGGUAGCUGGUCUGAGAGGAUGAUCAGCCACACUGGGACUGGAACACGGCCCAGACUCCUACGGGAGGCAGCAGUGGGGAAUAUUGCGCAAUGGGGGAAACCCUGACGCAGCGACGCCGUGUGAGGGAAGAAGGCCUUCGGGUCGUAAACCUCUGUCGGGAGGGAAGAACCGCCGGGUUCCGAACAGGGACUCGGCCUGACGGUACCUCCGAAGGAAGCGCCGGCUAACUCCGUGCCAGCAGCCGCGGUAAUACGGAGGGCGCGAGCGUUAAUCGGAAUCACUGGGCGUAAAGCGCGCGUAGGCGGCCAGAUAAGUCGGGCGUGAAAGCCCUCGGCUCAACCGAGGAACUGCGUUCGAUACUGUUUGGCUUGGGUCCUGGAGAGGGUGGCGGAAUUCCGGGUGUAGGAGUGAAAUCCGUAGAUAUCCGGAGGAACACCGGUGGCGAAGGCGGCCACCUGGACAGGUACUGACGCUGAGGUGCGAAAGCGUGGGGAGCAAACAGGAUUAGAUCCCCUGGUAGUCCACGCUGUAAACGAAAGAGGCUAGGUGUCAGGGGGCGACCCUCAAUGCCGGAGGUUAACGCAUUAAGCAUCCCACAUGGGGAGUACGGUCACAAGGCUGAAACUCAAGGGGAGUUGACGGGGGCCCGCACAAGCGGUGGAGUCUGUGGUUUAAUUCGAUGCAACGCGAAGAACCUUACCUGGGUUUGACAUCCCUCGAACCCUCCGGAAAUGGAGGGGUGCCCUUCGGGGAGCGGGGAGACAGGUGCUGCAUGGCUGUCGUCAGCUCGUGCCGUGAGGUGUUGGGUUAAGUCCCGCAACGAGCGCAACCCUUGUCCUUAGUUGUUUUCCCGAAAGGAUUACCCUCUAAGGGGACUGCCCCGGACAACGGGGAGGAAGGCGGGGAUGAUGUCAAGUCCGCAUGCUUCUUACGACCAGGGCUACACACGUCCUACAAUGGGGUCGACAGAGGGAUGCAAAGCCGCGAGGUAGAGCCAAUCCCUAAACGGCCUCUCAGUUCGGAUAGUAGUCUGCAACUCGACUACUUGAAGUCGGAAUCGCUAGUAAUGGCGGAUCAGCAUGCCGCCGUGAAUACGUUCCCGGGUCUUGCACACACCGCCCGUCA